RNAcentral lists this ribosomal RNA (460 nucleotides) under uncultured bacterium. Its description in RNAcentral is "partial 16S ribosomal RNA". It matches the Rfam family "Bacterial small subunit ribosomal RNA", at positions 338 to 795 of the family's 1533-position model. The record is from RNAcentral.
CCUACGGGUGGCAGCAGUGAGGAAUAUUGGUCCAUGGACGAGAGUCUGAACCAGCCAAGUAGCGUGAAGGAUGACUGCCCUAUGGGUUGUAAACUUCUUUUAUAUGGGAAUAAAACGUUCCACGUGUGGGAUUUUGUAUGUACCAUAUGAAUAAGGAUCGGCUAACUCCGUGCCAGCAGCCGCGGUAAUACGGAGGAUCCGAGCGUUAUCCGGAUUUAUUGGGUUUAAAGUGAGCGUAGGUGGAUUGUUAAGUCAGUUGUGAAAGUUUGCGGCUCAACCGUAAAAUUGCAGUUGAAACUGGCAGUCUUGAGUACAGUAGAGGUGGGCGGAAUUCGUGGUGUAGCGGUGAAAUGCUUAGAUAUCACGAAGAACUCCGAUUGCGAAGGCAGUUCACUGGACUGCAACUGACACUGAGGCUCGAAAGUGUGGGUAUCAAACAGGAUUAGAUACCCCAGUAGUC